UUUUGGAUAUUGGGGGAAAGCCUGAUCCAGCCAUCCCGCAUGUAUGAUGAAGGUCGUCGGGUUGUAAAGUACUUUUGUCAGAGAAGAAAAGGUAUCCUCUAAUACGGGAUACUGCAGACGUUAGCUGCAGACUACGCACCGGCUAACUACGUGCCAGCAGCCGCGGUAAUACGUAGGGUGCAAGCGUUAAUCGGAAUUACUGGGCGUAAAGCGUGUGUAGGCGGUUCGGAAAGAAAAAUGUGAAAUCCAAGGGCUCAACCUUGGAACUGCAUUUUUAACUGCCGAGCUAGAGUAUGUCAGAGGGAGGUAGAAUUCCACGUGCAGCAGUGAAAUGCGUAGAUAUGUGGAGGAAUACCGAUGGCGAAGGCAGACCCCUGGGAUAAUACUGACGCUCAGACACGAAAGCGUGGGGAGCAAACAGG
This 422-nucleotide ribosomal RNA is filed under the name uncultured bacterium. RNAcentral describes it as "partial 16S ribosomal RNA". It matches the Rfam family "Bacterial small subunit ribosomal RNA", at positions 362 to 776 of the family's 1533-position model. The record is from RNAcentral.